UUAUGCUCCUCCUCAGGUUUUCGACCGUCCUGAGUUCAAAAGUGAUGUUCGUUUUACCGUCUAAUCUCUCGUUUAUUGUGAAAUGACUAUAAUGCCCCUAAAAUACAUAAAUUACUUAAUUAAAAUAACACACACGUAAUUACAUCACAAGAAGGUUAAAUACAUAAAAGUAAGGGUUGUUAGUAAGACUUGAAAUGUAAAAUGACGGUUUUCUCCUUUAUAAAUAUGCAUUUUCU
RNAcentral lists this long non-coding RNA (236 nucleotides) under Citrus sinensis (sweet orange). Its description in RNAcentral is "long non-coding RNA (CSIN_LNC000236)". Lineage: Eukaryota; Viridiplantae; Streptophyta; Magnoliopsida; Sapindales; Rutaceae. The record is from RNAcentral.